UGAAAACUCCGGUGGAUAGAGAUGGGCACGCGCAAGAUUAGAUAGUUGGUGAGGUAACGGCUCACCAAGUCUGCGAUCUUUAGGGGGCCUGAGAGGGUGAUCCCCCACACUGGUACUGAGACACGGACCAGACUCCUACGGGAGGCAGCAGUGAGGAAUAUUGGACAAUGGGUGAGAGCCUGAUCCAGCCAUCCCGCGUGAAGGACGACGGCCCUAUGGGUUGUAAACUUCUUUUGUAUAGGGAUAAACCUACUCUCGUGAGAGUAGCUGAAGGUACUAUACGAAUAAGCACCGGCUAACUCCGUGCCAGCAGCCGCGGUAAUACGGAGGGUGCAAGCGUUAUCCGGAUUUAUUGGGUUUAAAGGGUCCGUAGGCGGAUUUGUAAGUCAGUGGUGAAAUCUCACAGCUUAACUGUGAAACUGCCAUUGAUACUGCAAGUCUUGAGUGUUGUUGAAGUAGCUGGAAUAAGUAGUGUAGCGGUGAAAUGCAUAGAUAUUACUUAGAACACCAAUUGCGAAGGCAGGUUACUAAGCAACAACUGACGCUGAUGGACGAAAGCGUGGGGAGCGAACAGGAUUAGAUACCCUGGUAGUCCACGCCGUAAACGAUGCUAACUCGUUUUUGGGCUUUCGGGUUCAGAGACUAAGCGAAAGUGAUAAGUUAGCCACCUGGGGAGUACGAACGCAAGUUUGAAACUCAAAGGAAUUGACGGGGGCCCGCACAAGCGGUGGAUUAUGUGGUUUAAUUCGAUGAUACGCGAGGAACCUUACCAAGGCUUAAAUGGGAAAUGACAGGUUUAGAAAUAGACUUUUCUUCGGACAUUUUUCAAGGUGCUGCAUGGUUGUCGUCAGCUCGUGCCGUGAGGUGUUAGGUUAAGUCCUGCAACGAGCGCAACCCCUGUCACUAGUUGCCAUCAUUAAGUUGGGGACUCUAGUGAGACUGCCUACGCAAGUAGAGAGGAAGGUGGGGAUGACGUCAAAUCAUCACGGCCCUUACGCCUUGGGCCACACACGUAAUACAAUGGCCGGUACAGAGGGCAGCUACACAGCGAUGUGAUGCAAAUCUCGAAAGCCGGUCUCAGUUCGGAUUGGAGUCUGCAACUCGACUCUAUGAAGCUGGAAUCGCUAGUAAUCGCGCAUCAGCCAUGGCGCGGUGAAUACGUUCCCGGG
RNAcentral lists this ribosomal RNA (1169 nucleotides) under Chryseobacterium sp. Its description in RNAcentral is "bacterial SSU rRNA". It matches the Rfam family "Bacterial small subunit ribosomal RNA", at positions 201 to 1378 of the family's 1533-position model. Lineage: Bacteria; Pseudomonadati; Bacteroidota; Flavobacteriia; Flavobacteriales; Weeksellaceae. The record is from RNAcentral.